RNAcentral lists this transfer RNA (77 nucleotides) under Kiritimatiellia bacterium. RNAcentral describes it as "Kiritimatiellae bacterium (gut metagenome) tRNA-Pro". It matches the Rfam family "tRNA". Rfam says of the family: Transfer RNA (tRNA) molecules are approximately 80 nucleotides in length. Lineage: Bacteria; Pseudomonadati; Kiritimatiellota; Kiritimatiellia. The record is from RNAcentral.
CGGGGUAUAGCGCAGUCUGGUAGCGCGUUUGGUUCGGGACCAAAAGGCCAUGGGUUCGAAUCCCAUUACCCCGACCA